AAAAGCGUUUACUUUUUAAAUUAAUUUGACCUCUCACCUUAAUGUUUGACAACACGGCACCAAAGCGUUCGAUACAUAGCCGGCUAUUUCUAACGAAAAAGUCAUGAUCCUACAGCAUUAAAAUAUGUUUCCCCACAAUUUGUGGUUUGAAAACUAGACUCUAAUUGUGAUCUCAUUUAAAUGGGAAAAAAGGAUGCAAAUGUCAGCCACUGUCUACCAGUAGAUCAGUAUCGCAAGCAGAUUGGAAAGCAAGAUUGGAAGAAAUCUAAAAAAGAAAUUAAAAAGAUGAAAUCCAGAGCAGAUAAUACCACAGUGUUAUCUCCCCAGGCUAUUGUUUUCUGGAUGGGACUCGUCAUUUUAUCUUGUUCCGCUGGUUACUUUCUGCUCUGCUGGUAUACAGGAACUGUCGCAUUAGAAAACAUUGUUGAUAAACCUCCUGUGUGAAGGAUCCACAUUUAACCAACCAAACAUAUAUCUGAAAAUUUGUUUUUGUUUCCAUAUGUAAACAGUUUUAAUUAUUCUGCAAAAAUGUCUCCAAACUUUUUUUUUUCAUAUCUAUAAAUUUAGAGUUUCUUACAACUUUAAAGGAAAUUAACAAAUUUAUUAAUAGGCAUUACCUUUUUUUUUUAUGCAAACACUUGGUUCUAUUUUUUGUUUUCACGUUUAGUCUUCAUUUAAUAGUCUGCCUGAAGGAUAAAUACAAUGUGCCAAAAUGAAAAUUCAUUGAAGAAAACUUUUCAGUUUUUCUUAAGAAGUUUAUUUUUUGUAAUACGUUUCAUAAACCUGAAUUAUUUUUGUUUAAUUGUCCUUAAAAUAUUUUCCCCGUCAAUUUACAUUUACAAGUUCAUAUAUCUAUGCUCAGUCAUUUUUAUUGUUAUUAUUCUAUCACUAUGCAAAGUACACCUAUAUUAUUAACAUAUUUAAUGAAUUUUUUUUUUUUUACAAGAUACAAUGAUUUUAAGAAUCUUUUUCUUUUGCCCAAACUUUUCAAAUAUGUUACUGUUAUUGGUAUAGAGCAAUUAUGUGUUUUCUGCAUGCUAUUGUUACACAGUGCUUUGUAUUAUGCUAGAGAACUUCAUUAAUGGCACAAUUUCUGCAGCUCCUCUGAUGUACUUAAGAGAGUUGACUGAAAAUCUUGUCAAUUUAUUUUCAAAGAUUUUCUUUUGGACUGAAAUACAAAUGUGAAUGUUACAUUAUAUUGUAGUACCAGGUACCAUUUUUCAAUGCACACAGUUUAGCCAAUAUUGAUACCAAGAUUAUAUAAAAUUAAAUUAAUUAUUUUUUUUUAGCUGUAGUAAUUAUUAAUAGAACUUCAUAUUACUGGCUAUGUCUCAUAAAAUAACUUUUUUUUCCCCACGAACUUCUAUGCUGUUCAUGACACUAUACUUUAACUCAAUUAUAUUGGUCUUGGCCCAAAUGACUUUUUAAAAGGGUCCAAAUAGUUCUUACAUGUAACUGUUAUCACUCCAAAUACUUAAUUCUGUUUGUACAAUCUGAGGUAUGAGUGACCUACUUGACCUCAAGAUUGAUUUGAUCAAGUAGUAGAAGUCUUGUUACAUCAUAUAUUUUUUUAAAGUAUCACCAUUGAAACAUACAGAUUGAAUUUUUUAAAAUAAAAUUGAACGAGCAAAGCCUUAA
Molecule: long non-coding RNA, 1638 nt
Organism: Biomphalaria glabrata
Lineage: Eukaryota; Metazoa; Mollusca; Gastropoda; Planorbidae
Exons: 4
Source: RefSeq, a predicted model, not a curated record